This 406-nucleotide ribosomal RNA is filed under the name uncultured bacterium. Its description in RNAcentral is "partial 16S ribosomal RNA". It matches the Rfam family "Bacterial small subunit ribosomal RNA", at positions 28 to 526 of the family's 1533-position model. The record is from RNAcentral.
GACGAACGCUGGCGGCGUGCCUAAUACAUGCAAGUCGAACGAGUGGCGGACGGGUGAGUAACACGUGGGAACCUACCCAUCAGAGGGGGAUAAAACUUGGAAACAGGUGCUAAUACCGCCUAUUGAUGGAUGGACACGCGGGGCAUUAGCUAGUUGGGGAGGUAACGGCUCACCUAGGCGACGAGCGCUAGCGGGUCUGAGAUGAUGAUCAGCCACACUGGGACUGAGACACGGCCCAGACUCCUACGGGAGGCAGCAGUGGGGAAUAUUGCACAAUGGGCGCAAGCCUGAUUCAGCCAUGCCGCGUGUAUGAAGAAGUCCUUAGGGUUGUAAAGUACUUUCAGCGGGGAGGCGUUACCCGCAGAAGAAGCACCGGCUAACUCCGUGCCAGCCGCCGCGGUAAUAC